This 305-nucleotide unclassified non-coding RNA is filed under the name plant metagenome. RNAcentral describes it as "partial contains 5.8S ribosomal RNA, internal transcribed spacer 2, and large subunit ribosomal RNA". The stretch from base 1 to 105 matches the Rfam family "5.8S ribosomal RNA", at positions 50 to 154 of the family's 154-position model. The record is from RNAcentral.
GAAAUGCGAUAAGUAGUGUGAAUUGUAGAAUUCAGUGAAUCAUCGAAUCUUUGAACGCACAUUGCGCCCUUUGGUAUUCCUUAGGGCAUGCCUGUUCGAGCGUCAUCUAAACCUUCAAGCCCUGCUUGGUGUUGGGUGCCUGUCCCGCCUCCGCGCGCGGACUCACCUCAAAUCCAUUGGCGGCCCCCGCGUCGGCCACGAGCGCAGCAGAAACGCGAACUCGUGAGCCCGUCCGAGCGGCUCCCAGAAGCUACACCCACCCAGUUUGACCUCGGAUCAGGUAGGGAUACCCGCUGAACUUAAGC